ACAAAUAUUCAUUGAAGAGACAAAAGAAAUGAGUAAUGAAUGCGUCAACGUUUACUUGCUACAGUAAGCCACGACCCAAAGCAAAAAAGAAGCUUGUACUAAUACUAAGCUUGCUAUAUAAAUAUGCCUUCUAGGGUUAGGGUUUUCCAAUGGAAAAAUAUUACGACAUACUGUAGCUAGCUGAGAAUUUUCUGCCAUACAUCUGCCAUCUCUCUUUUCAAACUAAAGAGAUGACAAAACGUCAAGUGAUUUUGAUGAAGGAUGACUUUUCAGACGACGAUUCAACAAAUUCAUCAUUUACUAUUAGGACAGUGAGAUAUAGAGAGUGCCAAAAAAAUCAUGCAGCAAGUGUUGGCGGAUACGCGGUUGACGGGUGUCGGGAGUUCAUGCCAUGUGGCGAGGAAGAAACUCCCGGCGGCCUUACUUGCGCAGCCUGUGGCUGCCACCGUAAUUUUCAUCGACGGGAAGUGGAAACUGAAGUUGCUUGUGACUGUUCCUUCCCGACUUAAAAAAUUUGCUCCAAGCUAAAGAAAUCAGUUAGAGAAGCGAUGUUGCUGAAAAGGCCUGGGCUUAUUGGUCAAGACAAGAAAGGACCGACAUAUACUUUUUUCACUUAACCAUAGUAUUAUGGGAGGGGAGCAAGCUUUAGGUAAGUGUUAAUUCUAAUCAGGUAUGUGUCAAAUCUGUAAAUGAAACAGCCUCGCAGGUGCGUGUUUUUUGGAUUUCCAGCACUUUCUUUCUGUGCCCAAUUGACAGUAUCUUCCAAAGCCUCAAAACCACUAUGUGGUGACUAUUAAAAAACCAUGUUCUCCAUUAUCUGUAUAGUAAAUUAUAGAUAUAUAUUUUCAGAAAAGAAGCAUUUUGCUUAUUUAUCUUUUA
Nicotiana tabacum (common tobacco) is the source of this 879-nucleotide non-coding RNA. Lineage: Eukaryota; Viridiplantae; Streptophyta; Magnoliopsida; Solanales; Solanaceae. The record is from RefSeq and is a predicted model, not a curated record.